RNAcentral lists this transfer RNA (66 nucleotides) under Quadraceps punctatus. RNAcentral describes it as "tRNA-Leu". The record is from RNAcentral. Lineage: Eukaryota; Metazoa; Arthropoda; Insecta; Psocodea; Philopteridae.
UCCCUUUUAGCAAAAAAUAGUGCGAGAAAUUAAGGAUUUCUAGGAGCGGUGUGUCCGUAAAGGGAA